AUUCAGAGAUGGAAGUAGGUGCCUUCUUUUGCAGGCCUCCCAUCCUGUGCACCAGCAUGGACUCACAAAACUUCCUGUAUAUUUAUAUUGUUAAUUGUGUCAGUAGCAUGGCCCAAGCAGAGGGUCACCCCUUUGAGUCUGGUCUGCUUGAGGUUUCUUCCUCAAAUCAUCAGAGGGAGUGUUUCCUUACCAUGGUCACCUGUGUGCUUGCUCUAGGGGUUGGUAAGGUUAUAGCUUACUUGCAUGAAGCACCUUGACGCACCUUUGCUGUGAUUUGACGCUAUAUACACUAAAAAAAUUGAAG
Molecule: long non-coding RNA, 304 nt
Organism: Thalassophryne amazonica
Lineage: Eukaryota; Metazoa; Chordata; Actinopteri; Batrachoidiformes; Batrachoididae
Exons: 3
Source: RefSeq, a predicted model, not a curated record